GACUCCGCAUGCGCACUGGAGCCUCGGAAUACAGCCAGGACUCUCCCGUCGGAAUGCGCCCCUAAGUUGGGCCAAGCCCAUUCAUUCAGGGGCUCCCGAGCCACGUAGGCGCCAUCCCUGGCCAGAGGGGUUCUGAGGAGGUGGGCAAGGGCAGACACUCUCUCCCGGUCUCAAAUUCGAAAUAGGGACUAGAAGGGAACUUCACGCGAGGCCUCGCAACUGUCGCGAGAAUCAGAACAGGAAAUCUAGGAACCGAGAACACUAAGAGCCCGCGGAUUUUAAACAGGAAAAAGAAAGGGCGGAGCAAACUCUGGCGGAUAGUUGUGAGUAAUCCCUGGUCCUUGGAAUAAGUGUCGACCUGAGACAGAAGGGGAACUGUCAGAGAGCUGCCGGAGACCCUGAAAAAGGCCAGAGACGGGGACUUGUGGGGCUGACGAAUGGAAUCACCCAAGGAGAGGUCUCUGACUCUAACAAAACACCUUGGGGACGGAGCUCCUUGGCUGGGAUACAGAGCAGACAAGUCCGGGAUCUUUUAGUGAAUUGCUGCCGGCUUCUAAGGCCUGGAGCAGAUAUUCAACAACAAACUCCACGGACCUAGAAACUCUCCACUUAUCCUACUAUUGUAGACGGUGGCUUACUUUUAGUCUUCCCUAUGCUCUAAGCUUCUGGUAGUAGGAAUCGUGCCUAACUCACUACUGUAUCUUGUGAACCUAGCCCCGCGCCUGGUGGCACGUCAAAUUCUCGGUAAAUAUUUGUGGAUUAAAUGUGAAAGACUGCCUGAGUGUUUAACCUGGAUUUUCUGAGUCGCUGAUGGAGAACAGUAGGUAGACGGGGAACCAGCGCCCUCUGGUGGGCUUGUGGUUCGUGACGAGAACAUGCUGGAACCGUGCAUCCAGAUGCUUGUAUUGAAGAAGGAAUGAGGUAUAGAAUGUAGUUUUCUUUCCACUGUGAAGCCCUGUGUUCACAAGAUUAUCAUACGUUCACUUUCAGUCACUGACACAUGAAAUAACUGAAGUAUAAUGACAGAAUGAUGAGCUGGAGUGUGGUGGUGCACGCCUGUAGCACCAGCUACUUGGGAGACUGAGGCAGUAGGAUCCCUUGAGCUCAAGGGUUCGAGAGACCAUGUCUCUUUAAAAAUAGAAGUUUAGGGCCAGGCGUGGUGGCUCAUACCUCUUAAUCCCAGCACUUUGGGAGGCGGAGGCGGGUGGAUCACCUGAGGUCAGGAGCUUGAGACCAGCCUGGUCAAUAUGGUGAAACCCUGUCUCUACUAAAAAUACAAAAAUUAGCCCAGCGUGGUGGUGCACGCCUGUAAUCCCAGCUACUCAGGAGGCUGAGGCAGGAGAAUCGCUUGAAUCUGGGAGGCAGAGGUUGCAGUGAGCCCAGAUCACGCCACUGCACUCCAGCCUGGGUGACAGAGCAAGACCCCCUCUCAAAAAAUAAAAAUAAAAAAUAGAAUUUUAAAAAUAAAAGAGUGAAAAGAGCCCUAUACAGAUGAACAACAAAAGAUGAAACAAGGCAUACAGUCAUUGUUUAAUUUGG
This 1539-nucleotide long non-coding RNA is filed under the name Homo sapiens (human). RNAcentral's name for it is "HSALNT0359617". The record is from RNAcentral. Lineage: Eukaryota; Metazoa; Chordata; Mammalia; Primates; Hominidae.